Molecule: ribosomal RNA, 395 nt
Filed under: uncultured bacterium
Lineage: Bacteria
Description: bacterial SSU rRNA
Rfam family: Bacterial small subunit ribosomal RNA
Source: RNAcentral
GUGUCAGCAGCCGCGGUAAUACGAAGGUCCCGAGCGUUGUUCGGAAUCACUGGGCGUAAAGGGAGCGUAGGCGGCGUGGUAAGUCAGAUGUGAAAUCCCGGGGCUCAACCCCGGAACUGCAUCCGAUACUGCCGUGCUAGAGGAUUGGAGAGGUAGCUGGAAUUUACGGUGUAGCAGUGAAAUGCGUGGAUAUCGUAAGGAACACUCGUGGCGAAAGCGAGCUACUGGACAACUCCUGACGCUGAGGCUCGAAGGCCAGGGUAGCGAAAGGGAUUAGAUACCCCUGUAGUCCUGGCAGUAAACGGUGCACGCUUGGUGUGAGGGGAAUCGACCCCCCUUGUGCCGGAGCUAACGCGUUAAGCGUGCCGCCUGGGAAGUACGGUCGCAAGACUAAA